RNAcentral lists this ribosomal RNA (506 nucleotides) under uncultured bacterium. Its description in RNAcentral is "partial 16S ribosomal RNA". It matches the Rfam family "Bacterial small subunit ribosomal RNA", at positions 29 to 523 of the family's 1533-position model. The record is from RNAcentral.
AGUGAACGCUGGCGGUAGGCCUGACACAUGCAAGUCGAACGGCAGCACAGGAGAGCUUGCUCUCUGGGUGGCGAGUGGCGGACGGGUGAGGAAUACAUCGGAAUCUACUUUUUCGUGGGGGAUAACGUAGGGAAACUCACGCUAAUACCGCAUACGACCUACGGGUGAAAGCAGGGGAUCUUCGGACCUUGCGCGAUUGAAUGAGCCGAUGUAGGAUUAGCUAGUUGGCGGGGUAAAGGCCCACCAAGGCGACGAUCCGUAGCUGGUCUGAGAGGAUGAUCAGCCACACUGGAACUGAGACACGGUCCAGACUCCUACGGGAGGCAGCAGUGGGGAAUAUUGGACAAUGGGCGCAAGCCUGAUCCAGCCAUACCGCGUGGGUGAAGAAGGCCUUCGGGUUGUAAAGCCCUUUUGUUGGGAAAGAAAUCCAGCUGGUUAAUACCCGGUUGGGAUGACGGUACCCAAAGAAUAAGCACCGGCUAACUUCGUGCCAGCCGCCGCAGUAA